GGAGGCAUGGCGGAAUCGGUAUACGCUACGGACUUAAAAUCCGUUGGUCAUUGACCUUGAGGGUUCAAGUCCCUCUGCCUCCA
This 83-nucleotide transfer RNA is filed under the name Chaetosphaeridium globosum. Its description in RNAcentral is "tRNA-Leu". It matches the Rfam family "tRNA". Rfam says of the family: Transfer RNA (tRNA) molecules are approximately 80 nucleotides in length. Lineage: Eukaryota; Viridiplantae; Streptophyta; Coleochaetophyceae; Coleochaetales; Chaetosphaeridiaceae. The record is from RNAcentral.